This is a non-coding RNA of Perkinsus marinus ATCC 50983, 535 nucleotides long. The record is from Rfam. NCBI's taxonomy places the organism in Eukaryota, Perkinsozoa, Perkinsida, Perkinsidae.
CAACCCUACUUCAAGUAGACGGAUUUUCAUUUACCGUCAAGUUGACGGUGAAUGACAAUGUGUUGUUUGUUGUGCUCGGAUUUUGUACUGCUAUCCCUCCGCUGAUUCAGUAUCAGUCGCAUCAAGUUGUGACAUGGUGGUGGCUUCUCCCAACCUCAUCGUACUGUUAUGAUAGCAGUGCUAUCUCUUGUGGACCUCUUCUGGACCCUUGAGAGCCGUCACCACAAUCAUCUGAAAUUCUGGUGAUGGGAGUGACAGAACCGUUGGCUUUUCUUUUUAACAGUUCGACUUACCCUGGAAUCAUAUCAUCUGGAGAUAGGGUUUUCGAACUGAAAUAGCACAUUGUCUAACAGGGUGUCUGGAGUGUUCUCGCUGGCCCUUGAAAAUCCAAGGGAUAGAUUUAUUCGCACUCUCUGAUCGUACCCAUAACCGCAUCACGUCUCCAAGGUUAGAAGCCUCUGGUCCGUGGGACAAAGUAGAUAAGGGAAGUCGGCAAAAUAUGUUCGUAACUUCUGGAAAAGGACUGGCUCUGAGG